CGGCGGCGGAGCAGGCUCGACCCGGGCUCGCACUUCCGCUGGCGUCAGGCGGGUGGGCUGCUGCGAUCACUUCCCGGUUGGGGCGCCGAGCUCCGGAGUCGGCCGCCAGCCUUUGGGCCCCACGCUCCGGGUCUGGUGCGCGGUCUGGCCGCGCUCGGGCCCUCGCCAAAUGAGAGCGCAGCGCCUCUCCGCCUUCGGAUCCAGAGAAAGAGCUUGUUGCUGCCUCUAAAAGGUUGGAGCCUUAGUAAGCGGUUCCUGCCUUUCCUGCACAGACCAGACCGCCGGGUGCUGGUCUGCGCUCUGCCGCGCGCCGACUGGGACAGCCCACCCACGAGAUCCUUGUUCCUGAAAUCCCUUUCCUUCCCUCAUCUGCCAAGAAAACUUUCAACUUUUGGGCUCUCCGCGCCUCCCAAGCUUCCUCGAAUCCCUGGGCCCUUGACUGUUCUGCCCUGAUGGCACUUGGUGAGAGAUCCAUUGAGAGCCCUUUCCGUGCCUUCCUGAAUAUUGAUAUGUUUUCCAGCCUCUCCUCCUGCGCUGGCCCAAGGACUCAUUUUCCGUCCCUGCUUCCUCACUAAAAAGAGGGUGCCCAAUAAUUGCUUGUUCCAUACAGAAGGCAGGGAGGCCGUCUCUAGGUUUUCUCCCACUCAGAUCUGCUGUCCUCACAGCCACCUCCCCAAGAGGAAUGAAGGGAAAUUGACUCGACUCGGAACUCGAGGACCUUUCACAAGAGACCACUGGGUUAGGGGGCAGAGCUGGUAAUAGAAUCCAGCGCUCCGAACCCUGAAUCAUGUCCUCUUUUUGCUGCUGAGGCUCAGGCCACAGCACCCCAAAUUAUGACUGUAGAAUACCAAAAUAUGCUAUCCCAAAAUACACUUGUUUGGCACAUUUCAAGCUGGUUAUUCUGAGAAACUGCAGACACGGGAGUAGCUCUGAAAAGCUGUCCUUUUGUAAAGCAAAUUUACAUCUAUAAAGGAAGUCCACAUAGUAAAAGUAUCUGUGUCAGGAAGGCAGCUGCUCAGAGAACUUUUAUUACAUGAGAGACUUUACAUAACAAGGCAACUUUUUUUUUUUUUUUUUUUUUUUUUUUUGAGGCAGAGUCUCGCUCAGUCGCCCAGGCUGGAGUGCAUUGGCAUGAUCCCGGCUCACUGCAACCUCCGCCCCCCGGGUUCAAGCGAUUCUCCGGCCUCAGCCUCUGAAGUAGCCGGGAUUACAGGCGCGCGCCACCGCGCCCGGGUAAUUUUUGUAUUUUUAGUAGAGACGGGGUUUCACCAUGUUGGUCAGGCUGGUCUCGAACUCCUGACCUCGUGAUCCGCCCACCUCGGCCUCCCAAAGUGCUGGGAUUACAGGUGUGAGCCACCGCGCGCAGCCACAAGGCAACAUUAUUUACCAUACAUUUCCUCCACUAACCCUCCUAUAUCCUACCUGUGGUGCCUCCCCACUGUCCCCACAGAAGCCCCAAGCCCUUAUUUAUUUCUAGCUCAGAAUGCUAUAAGCUUCAAUCAUCUGGCCCUUCAUGUUUUGUGAGAUUCCUGUGCUGCUGCGUAUGCAGGUAAUUAAAACGGUUUUUCUUCUGUUAAUCUGUCUUAUGUCGGCCAGGCGUGGUGGCUCAUGCCUGUAAUCCCAGCACUUUGGGAGGCCGAGGUGGGCGGAUCACGAGGUCAGGAGUUUGAGACCAGCCUGACCAACAUGGUGCAACCCCAUCUCUACUAAAAAUACAAAAGAAGUAGCCGGGCGAGGUGGUGCGCACCUGUAAUCCCAGUUACUCAGAAGCUGAGGCAGGAGAAUCGCUUGAACCCAGGAGGCGGAAGUUGCAGUUAGCCGAGAUUGUGCCACAGCACUCCAGCCUGGGCGACAGAGCAAGAUACCGUCUCAAAAAAAAAAAAAAAAAUCUCUGUUAUGUCAAUUUAAUUUGCAAUCCAAGUAAAGAACCUAGAAGGGUAGAGGGAAGCCAUUUUUCCCUCCCCUACAUUGCUAGUUCCAUGCCAAUGUGAGAGGACUCUGAGAAUGUGGAUGUCUGCCACCUGGAGAAAGAGUCUUAAUAACCUGGGCACUUGGCCAGGCACGGUGGCUCACACCUGUCAUCCCAGCAUUUUCAGAGGCAAAGGUGGGUGGAUCACCUGUGGUUAGGAGUUCAAGACCAGCCUGGCCAACAUGGCGAAACCCUGUCUCUACUAAAAAUACAAAAAUUAGCCAGGCAGGGUGGUGGGCACCUGUAAUUUCAGCUACUCAGGAGGCUGAGGCAGGAGAAUCACUUGAACCCAGGAGGCGGAGGUUGCAGUUAGCCUAGAUGGUGCCAUUGCACCCCAGCCUGGGCAACAAGAGCAAAAUUCUAUCUCAAUAGAUAAAUAAAUAAAUAACCUGGGGACUUGUAGCCUCUAUUGAAAGGUACCAGAAAAGGAUAAAGCCUGAGUUUUCAAGCCAGGAAGUUGCAAAUUCUAACUCUACCAAGAAGUAGCUGGGUGACCUCCAAGCCUCAGUUUCCUCAUCUUCAAAACCAGGUUAAUAGUGUCAGAGGCAUUUGAACCAGAGAGACUCCAUCUUGAAUAGGGACUGGGUAAAAUAAGGCUGUGACCUGCUGGGCUGUAUUCCCAGGAAGUUAAGGCAUUCUUCGAGGAUGAGAUGGUGGGGGUCAGCACAAGAUACAGGUCACAAAGACCUUGCUGGUAAAAUAGGAUGUAGUAAAGGAGCCGGCCAAAACCCAUCAAAAUCAAGAUGGCGACCAAAGUGAGCUCUGGUCGUGCCCACUGCUCAUUAUACACUAAUUAUAAUUCAUUAGCAUGCUAAAAGACACUCCCACCAGCACCAGGACAGUUUACAAACAUCAGGAAGUUACCCUAUAUGGUCUAAAGGAGGAGGAACCCUCAGUUCUGGGAAUUGCCCAUCCCUUUCGCGGAAAACUCAUGAAUAAUCCACCCCUUGUUUAGCAUAUAAUCAAGAAAUAACUAUAAUUAGUUGAGCAGCCCAUGCUGCAGCUCUGCCUAUGGAGUAGCCAUUCUUUACCUCCUUUACUUCUCUAAUAAAUUUGAUUUCACUUUAUGGACUUGCCCCAAAUUCUUUCUUGCGUGAGGUUCAAGAACCCUCUCUUGUGGACUGGAUGAGGACCCCACUCUGGUAACAAUAUACUUUUUGUCCAGUCACAUUUCUACAUGGCUGUCCAUACUCUGUUGAAUGUAAGCAUAAGAAUGGACAAUUUUGCUGUAUCUUUGGAUCUUCAUUCUGAAGGCUCCCAUGGCAUGUAAAACUAUGAUCAAAUAAAUUUGUAUGCCUUUUUUCCUUUUAAUCUGCCUUGUCGGUUGAUUUUCAGUGAAACUUCAGAGGGUAAAGGGGAAGUUUGCCCUUCACCCCUACAUGGUCAAGCUCAAGAUACCAAAAGACAUCAGCUGAAAAUUCAAUCAACUUGCCUGAAUCAUCCACCCCAAGCUUAGGAAGCAUGCUUGAACCCACCUGGCCAAGGCUGGUUUUGCCGGCCAAAGUCCAAGGCCAAGGCUCCAACCAAAGCCCAGACUUCAGUUGCAGCUCCAGUUCCAGUUCCAGUUCCAGCUCCAGUUCCAGUUCCAGUUCCAGCUCCAGAUCAAAUUUCCAAGGGUGCCCAUGCACACCCACAAAGGAUCUGGAGGAGAGGCCUCUGUCUACCAAUGGGAGGACAGAAGGACUGGUGUGAGCCCUGGGCUGCCAUCUGUUUCUGCAUGGAGCUGGUACCAUUCUUUUCUAUUUAUACAAACAAACAUGAGGCAGGAUCUGUCCAUUAAAAAAAAGAGGCCGGGCACAGUGGCUCAUGCCUAUAAUCCCAGCAUUUUAGGAGGCCGAGGUGGGUAAAUCACCUGAGGUUGGGAGUUCGAGACCAGCCUGGCCAAUAUGGUGAAACCUCUUCUCUACUAAAAAUACAAAAAUUAGCCGAGCGUCGCGGCACAUCUUUAAUCCCAGCUCCUCAGGAGGCUGAGGCACAAGAAUCACUUGAACCCAGGAGGUGGAGGUUGCAGUAAGCCGAGAAAACACCACUACACUCCAGCCUAGGCGACAGAAUGAGGCUCCAUCUUGAAAAGAAAAAGAAAAUUAAAAAGAAACAGUCUAUACAGGCUCAUUCCCUUUCCCCACUCAGAGUUUUUUCAAAGGAAUGUGGCCAGAUCUGGAGGUUUACCUGCCUUCUGGCUCUGAGGACUUUGCAGUUACUAUUUAAGGUCUGGUUAAUAGCUUCCUUUGCAUCGUGGUUGGUUAACAAGAGUAG
This 4225-nucleotide long non-coding RNA is filed under the name Homo sapiens (human). Its description in RNAcentral is "HSALNT0090218". Lineage: Eukaryota; Metazoa; Chordata; Mammalia; Primates; Hominidae. The record is from RNAcentral.